CGGAGGGUGCAAGCGUUAUCCGGAUUCACUGGGUUUAAAGGGUGCGUAGGUGGGCAAGUAAGUCAGUGGUGAAAUCUCCGGGCUUAACCCGGAAACUGCCAUUGAUACUAUUUGUCUUGAAUACUGCGGAGGUCAGCGGAAUAUGUCAUGUAGCGGUGAAAUGCUUAGAUAUGACAUAGAACACCAAUUGCGAAGGCAGCUGGCUACACAAAUAUUGACACUGAGGCACGAAAGCGUGGGGAUCAAACAGGAUUAGAUACCCUGGUAGUCCACGCCCUAAACUAUGGAUACUCGACAUUUGCGAUAAACUGCAAGUGUCUGAGCGAAAGCAUUAAGUAUCCCACCUGGGAAGUACGAUCGCAAGAUUG
This 368-nucleotide ribosomal RNA is filed under the name uncultured organism. RNAcentral describes it as "bacterial SSU rRNA". It matches the Rfam family "Bacterial small subunit ribosomal RNA", at positions 526 to 896 of the family's 1533-position model. The record is from RNAcentral.